UGGGGAAUCUUGCACAAUGGAGGAAACUCUGAUGCAGCGACGCCGCGUGAGCGAAGAAGCCUUUCGGGGUGUAAAGCUCUUACGCCAGGGACGAUAAUGACGGUACCUGGAGAAGCAGCUGCGGCUAACUACGUGCCAGCAGCCGCGGUAAUACGUAGGCAGCAAGCGUUGUUCGGAAUUACUGGGCGUAAAGGGUGCGUAGGCGGCGCUCUAAGUUUGGUGUGAAAUCUCCCGGCUUAACUGGGAGGGUGCACUGAAAACUGGGGCGCUCGAGGAUGGGAGAGGAAAGCGGAAUUCCUGGUGUAGCGGUGAAAUGCGUAGAGAUCAGGAGGAGCACCCGCGGUGCAGACGGCUUUCUGGACCAUCACUGACGCUGAGGCACGAAAGCGUGGGUAGCAAACA
Molecule: ribosomal RNA, 402 nt
Filed under: uncultured bacterium
Lineage: Bacteria
Description: bacterial SSU rRNA
Rfam family: Bacterial small subunit ribosomal RNA
Source: RNAcentral